RNAcentral lists this ribosomal RNA (408 nucleotides) under uncultured bacterium. Its description in RNAcentral is "partial 16S ribosomal RNA". It matches the Rfam family "Bacterial small subunit ribosomal RNA", at positions 28 to 526 of the family's 1533-position model. The record is from RNAcentral.
GACGAACGCUGGCGGCAUGCUUACCACAUGCAAGUCGAACGAAGUGGCGAACGGGUGAGUAACGCGUAAUCAACCUGCCCUUCAGAGGGGGACAACAGUUGGAAACGUCUACUAAUACCGCAUACUGAAGGACGGGAUUGCGUCUGAUUAGCUAGUUGGCGGGGUAACGGCGCACCAAGGCGAUGAUCAGUCGAACGACUGAGAGGGUGAUCGGCCGCAUUGAUGCUGAGACACGGCCCAGACUACUACGAAAGGCAGCAAUGGGGAAUCUGCCGGAAGGGACGAAAGUCUGACGGCGCAACGCCGCGUGAGUGAUGACGGCCUUCGAGUUGUAAAGCUCUGUUAAUCGGGACGCGGUACCGGAAUAGAAAGCCACGGCUAACUACGUGCCAGCAGCCGCGGUAAUUC